Molecule: microRNA precursor, 191 nt
Filed under: Marmota monax (woodchuck)
Lineage: Eukaryota; Metazoa; Chordata; Mammalia; Rodentia; Sciuridae
Source: RNAcentral
ACACACACACACAUCUCUCUCUCUCUCUCUCUCUCUCUCUCUCUCGUACAGAUACAGAGACACAUAUAUUGACUAACCUGUACAAACAUUUAAGAGAAAUACUUUUUUGCAUAUUUGCAUAGAGUACAAUCCUCUUUUUUUUUGUGUGAGAGAGAGAGAGAGAGAGAGAGAGAGAGAAUUUUAAUACUUAU